RNAcentral lists this ribosomal RNA (484 nucleotides) under uncultured bacterium. RNAcentral describes it as "partial 16S ribosomal RNA". It matches the Rfam family "Bacterial small subunit ribosomal RNA", at positions 30 to 507 of the family's 1533-position model. The record is from RNAcentral.
AUUGAACGCUGGCGGCAGGCCUAACACAUGCAAGUCGAGCGGAUGAAGGUAGCUUGCUCCUGGAUUCAGCGGCGGACGGGUGAGUAAUGCCUAGGAAUCUGCCUGGUAGUGGGGGAUAACGUCCGGAAACGGGCGCUAAUACCGCAUACGUCCUGAGGGAGAAAGUGGGUGAUCUUCGGACCUCACGCUAUCAGAUGAGCCUAGGUCGGAUUAGCUAGUUGGUGGGGUAAAGGCCUACCAAGGCGACGAUCCGUAACUGGUCUGAGAGGAUGAUCAGUCACACUGGAACUGAGACACGGUCCAGACUACUACGGGAGGCAGCAGUGGGGAAUAUUGGACAAUGGGCGAAAGCCUGAUCCAGCCAUGCCGCGUGUGUGAAGAAGGUCUUCGGAUUGUAAAGCACUUUAAGUUGGGAGGAAGGGCAGUAAGUUAAUACCUUGCUGUUUUGACGUUACCAACAGAAUAAGCACCGGCUAACUUCGUG